RNAcentral lists this ribosomal RNA (469 nucleotides) under Pluralibacter gergoviae. Its description in RNAcentral is "bacterial SSU rRNA". It matches the Rfam family "Bacterial small subunit ribosomal RNA", at positions 1 to 465 of the family's 1533-position model. The record is from RNAcentral. Lineage: Bacteria; Pseudomonadati; Pseudomonadota; Gammaproteobacteria; Enterobacterales; Enterobacteriaceae.
AAAUUGAAGAGUUUGAUCAUGGCUCAGAUUGAACGCUGGCGGCAGGCCUAACACAUGCAAGUCGAACGGUAGCAGAAAGAAGCUUGCUUCUUUGCUGACGAGUGGCGGACGGGUGAGUAAUGUCUGGGAAACUGCCCGAUGGAGGGGGAUAACUACUGGAAACGGUAGCUAAUACCGCAUAACGUCUUCGGACCAAAGAGGGGGACCUUCGGGCCUCUUGCCAUCGGAUGUGCCCAGAUGGGAUUAGCUAGUAGGUGGGGUAAUGGCUCACCUAGGCGACGAUCCCUAGCUGGUCUGAGAGGAUGACCAGCCACACUGGAACUGAGACACGGUCCAGACUCCUACGGGAGGCAGCAGUGGGGAAUAUUGCACAAUGGGCGCAAGCCUGAUGCAGCCAUGCCGCGUGUAUGAAGAAGGCCUUCGGGUUGUAAAGUACUUUCAGCGGGGAGGAAGGGAGUGAGGUUAAUAA